AUGAACGCUAGCGAUAGGCUUAACACAUGCAAGUCGAGGGGCAGCAUGGUCUUAGCUUGCUAAGACUGAUGGCGACCGGCGCACGGGUGCGUAACGCGUAUGCAACUUGCCUCACAGAGGGGGAUAACCCGUCGAAAGACGGACUAAUACCGCGUACACUCCAUCUUGGGCAUCCAAGGUAGAGGAAAUGAAAUUCGCUGUGAGAUAGGCAUGCGUCCCAUUAGCUAGUUGGUGAGGUAACGGCUCACCAAGGCGACGAUGGGUAGGGGAACUGAGAGGUUGAACCCCCACACUGGUACUGAGACACGGACCAGACUCCUACGGGAGGCAGCAGUGAGGAAUAUUGAUCAAUGGGCGAGAGCCUGAACCAGCCAAGUCGCGUGAAGGAUGACUGUCUUAUGGAUUGUAAACUUCUUUUAUACGGGAAGAACAAGAGUCACGUGUGACUCCCUGCAUGUACCGUAUGAAUAAGCAUCGGCUAACUCCGUG
Molecule: ribosomal RNA, 489 nt
Filed under: uncultured bacterium
Lineage: Bacteria
Description: partial 16S ribosomal RNA
Rfam family: Bacterial small subunit ribosomal RNA
Source: RNAcentral